This 7279-nucleotide long non-coding RNA is filed under the name Malus domestica (apple). RNAcentral describes it as "long non-coding RNA (MDOM_LNC007191)". Lineage: Eukaryota; Viridiplantae; Streptophyta; Magnoliopsida; Rosales; Rosaceae. The record is from RNAcentral.
CCCAAUCUAAUCCAGAAAACCCGUUUGUUUCCCGAGAAAGUUGCAGCCCCUCGGAACAGGGAUCGCAAUCCAGAUCUAAACUUGGAGUGAUUGGAUCUUGUCACGUAAGGAGAAUUGGGAAUGGGGAUUAGGGUUGUGGUGGUUGAAUUUGUGGCGGGUUUUUGGAUUGGGUGGAUAAUUUAUUGAAAAAGAAAGGAGCUUUAUCUGUCGUCUGUUCCUAGCCAAAAAAAAUUAUCAACACGGGUAAGGCUGUUUGUAGACAUAAAAUUUUAAAAUGUGCAGGGCCAAACUCUAUUUAAAAUGCGCUAAUACAUGUGUUAAUUUUGUGUGUACAUUAUAUUGAUUCGUAUGGAACAAUACUUAAAUGUUUUUAAACGAAACCAUCGCAUCUUACUGCAUAAAGAAUCUUUGCACAACAUUGAGCCAAUUUCAUAGUAAGCACUCCUUUGGAACUUGGAAGUGUUUUUAAAUUGACUGAAAUAGCUUUUGGAGUAAAUGUUUUGGGAUUCCAAAAGCACUUGCAAUGCUUUUCCAGGAUUCACUUGCAUUUUACUAGGGAUUGAUUCUGAAAACAUUUUCAUCAAAAGCCUUUUUAGAACCAAUCCUUAGUAAAAUGAAAGUGAAUCCUGGAAAAGCACUUUAAGGAUUGGUUCUGAAAACAUUUUCGCCAAAAACGUUUUCAGCUAUUUUAAAAGCAUUUUCAAACGAGACCAAAGACAAUGAGGUAGCAAGCAACACAAAAUCAUUCCCUUCAUACGCAUACAUUACGUACAAAUCCAGUAAAAUGAACAUUAUAAUUUACAAGUGGCAUGAAAAUACAGACCAGCUGAGCAUUCCAUAAUACUCUACUUUUAUUCAUUGUGUUGUUACAUCCAUCAGCUUAUUGUGCUGCAGUUCAGUUCAACUUGUAUUGAAUCUGAACCGCUUUUUGGUUCAAUACAUGUACCUUGCUAGCUAGCUAGUUUCUAUUCUCCGCUAAUCGUAUUCCGCCAACUUUCUAACGUGACAAUGCGUGAUUGACUUGAAAUAUCGUGCCACCUAGUUUGACAACCUUUGUUCCUCAUCGUCCUUAAUGAGGAUGUGAUCAUCGUUGUCAGCAACCCCAACCUCCCAACCAAACUGAAAGGUGACAUCUAGGAAGUAGAGCAUGAUGACCAAAACAAAGCAGGACACGAACAUCGGAAUUGGCCCGAAAAUCCAUAGAAACAAAGGGAACGAGAAGUAGAACGCCCGGAGUCCCAAGGACCAGAAAUAGCUGCCUCGGUUCACGGUUGUGGCAACGUAGUCUGUAGUGAGGUAGUGGUGCUGAUGGUGGGGCGACAUCUUCUUGCACGGUGCGUUGAUGAGAAUGCUGGCGUGGCUGUAGUACCUUAUGGACUGCACAUUGAAGAGGAAAGCCACCAGGAAACACACCAAAAUGGCGAAGAACUUGAUCGAAAAUGCAAGCUCGCUUCGGUCCCCAAAGACAAAUAAAGCUGCUCUGUAUUUGGUGCCGCUGGUCAUCAAGAGGGCAAUGAGAGAGCAGAGCGUAAUGGCGGUCGAGGCCAAAAGGGUCGACGCCAUUAUGUUGUUUCUCAAUGUUUGCACUGCAAGAACACCAUGCUUUGGAGCUUCCUGCAUUUCGUGCAUGCCCAAAUGCAAAUUGGUCAUUAGAGAACAUCAUUUUUCAAUCGUAUAUGCACUGUUUUUAUCCAUUAAUUUUCUUUUACCGUAUUCAAUUCAAAAGUCAAAAACUAAAUAUGGGGAUGCAUGAAGGGAAAAAGCUUGCACGAAAAUCACUUUCAUUGUAAAAAAAUGUACGUUGUCAUGCUACAUGUGAUUAUAUGAAUAGGAAUCAAUUAAGGCGAUACUAUAAACCAUUCUAAUUUACAGGAAAAAAAAAUCGAACUUGAAUUGACCAACUGGUUAAAAACCUUUCUUUCAACAUUUUCAAGAUUACUGGUGCACAAGAAAACAUUUUCCAACAACAUAAUAUAAAUAGGAACCAAUUAAGAAGACAAAAAAAAAUUGAAAGAUAUGAUUUUGAUUGAUGGGUUUUGUUGGGUUUUGGUUUUACCUCCAUCAUUGCGUGAACCCAGAAGCGGCGGUUGAUGGAAUUGAUUCCGAUGACGGUGCUGUUGGGCUGCGCCAGGAUUCGAUAGAGAAGCCAUAGGUGGUAUGCCACCAUUACCAGCAGCCCUGCCGGCACCAAAACGUAAUCCAAAACUCUUUGCUGCAUUUCUUCUUCUUCUUCUGAGAUCUUUUGCUUCUGAAAUUGUUCAAGGGAGGAGAGAGCGAGAGUCCAAAUGUAGCACGGGUGUGGGUUUCUGUUGUGUUGAGCUGUGUUUGUGUGAGGGGAGUGGACUCUCUGGUUUUUUGGUAUGAAAAGGAGAAAAACGAGGCGGGUUUUUAUGGCAAACAUGUGGGUCUCGAACGGGCGGAAGUUCUUGCGUAGGAGAAGUCCAUGCCAAGAAUCCCUUUGCAUGUACUUUUGGCGCACGCGUGACGUGAUAUCGGUUUCUCUAUUCAAGAUAUCUCCUCACUUCAGCACUUUAUCAUUACUAUUAUAAUUUAGCGUUAUUUCUCUUCUAUUCACUUACUUCUUUUUAUCUCAUACUCUCUUAUUAAUUUUUAUUCACCGAUCUUCAAUUUGUUUGAUCCAACGGCCGAAAAUUAAGAAUGAUGUGUGAGAGGUAGAAAUGAGUGUGGACAACUCCAUCUUUUCUUUUGACUUAUAGAUUUAGUACUUAAUCCCAACAUAGGAAUUUUAAUGAACUUUUUUUCGUUUUCAGCAAUUCAUGAAAGAAUGAAUCAAGAAAAAACGUAUGAAUAUACCGGCUACAAGAAAAUACCUCAUGAUAGUCAAUAUGAGCCCCCACCACCCAUCAAUGCAUGGUGUUUUUAGACUCAACAUAGAAUAUCCUUAUAUCAUAUAGGAGGUGUUACGCAUAACAUAAAAUGAGGCUUAAAAUGUGAUUUAGACGUGAAAAUAAGAACAGUGUCACACGAUAUUGCGAUUCCAUCCAAAUUAGCAUAUUUUUUUAUUAUUAAUAUUCUUUAAAGGUAACGAGACAUAUAAACCAUGUUGCGUAUGGUUAAUUCCUAAAAAAAAAAAUCACUAUGAAACACAAUCAAGUGCAAAUUUAUCAAGUUCGAGGAUUUCUAACAACCCCACUACUAGGCUCACCAAACAUGAGUGAAAAAUGAGUGCUAUUUUCCAAUUAGUCUUUGAUUUUAAUUUUUUUUAUCACCCUUGCUUAAGCAAGUGCAAAACAAAUUGCCUUCCGGCUUUUUGCUGGCCACAUUGAUUCAAUUACCCGACAACGUCAAUGGAUUAAUGGGAAACAGCACAGUCGUCGUCAUUAUUAAAAGGCACUAUCUAAUAGUAUUGUCCAUUAUCCUCUCUUCUCACCUGGAUUUCUAUUGACAAACAUGUCGACAGAUGUACAACCAUGUAAAGACUCGUUUGAAAGUACUUUUAAAAUGAUUAAAAGCGAUUUUGGUAAAAUUGAUUUUGGGUUCUAAAAGGAAAAAAAACACUAGAAAUGUACUUAUUGCAGAAAACACUUCAAAUGCUUUUUCAUGAACCACUUGGAUUCUUACUAAAGAAUGGUUUUAAAAACAUUUUCAUUAAAAACAUUUUCAGUCAUUUUAAAGACACUUUCCAAACAAACCCUUAUUAAAACUUCAACAUAGUUAAUAAUAUAAUUAAAAUCUCAAUAAUCUACAGCAUGUCGAUAUGCGUAUUGAUAUUAGAUAGUCAAACAUGCGACAUCAUCACACCUUGACCCAAGAUUCUUUUCCUCCCUUCGCACGAACAUUCACGAAUGAUGAAUCCUUUGAACAUGUGGUAUCUAUAAGUUAGGAACAGAUCAUUUUCCAGCUCCAAAAACCUGCCCCAGUGAAAAUAAUGAGAAUUUACUGCUCUAUUUUUUAAUCGUCCUUGCAAAGCAGCAGUCAAUCAGGACUAACCCACUUUGAGUUCGAGCCUAUUGGUUUGAACAAAUUAAGCUCAUGUCAUAUAUAUACAUACGAAAAUUCCACUAUGCUCCUGAUAUCUUAUAUACCAGAAUUUAUAAAUGUUAAGAUCUUGAUCAUUGCAUCAUUAACCAAGGAUACCACGGCCAAAAAUCUCAGUGCAUAGCAUACUCGGAGCAUACCCAAAAAUGCCAUACACGAGCACUCGAAAAUCUCAAGAUUCGGGCAGGGCCAACUGCCCAAGUGUGGGUAUAUCUUCCCCCAACCCCCCCCCCCUCUCUUUUAUCUCUCGUCACCUAACAAUAUAUCUUUGGUUGUAUGCUAGAAUCUAAGCCCAAUUAGGACCUAACUUUGUGUCAUUUACCACUAAAGCACGCAGUUAAAUGUGGCAAAUCACAUGGCUGAUGUGAUACAAUUUAACUAUCUUUUGUGGCGGGUCCCGAUGACACCGUUGAUGCUUGGGAAAGAAAGCCCUAAGGUAUCAAAAUGGAAUUUGCACAGAGAUACCUUAAACAUGAAACAGUAAUUACUUGCUGUAUAAGAAAGAAAGAAUUUUUGGACACAAUGGAAUUUAUUACUUGCUAGUCAUCAAAACUGUGAAAAUUCAGGUAGCUCCCAGCCUCCGAUGUAUCUUAUACACCGCCGGGAGUACGUGCGUUUGACCGUGUAUGUGCGAUACACGAACUUCCCCCCUUCACUAGUAAACAAUACAAACCUGACAAAACAUAUUUCCGAAAUAACUAGAUAGCCAAAUCAAAUACUUCCUCUGCCUAAUCCACAACUUGAUUUUACAUCUACAUACCCUUUUCGCAACUACUUACAGUUAAAAAUUUUGAAGUUCCUGCAAGCUUCCUUUCUUUUGAGAUUUUCUAACCUUUAGAAUUCCACACGAGCCACAGAGUCGGCAGAGUAAUGGACAUCAAGUACCGAUGGAACCAGGACAUGAAGCUUGUCAGGCUCACCAAAUUCCUACAAGAUGUUGGACAAGAAUGAGUUUGCUCGUUAGAUAAUAAAAUUUGGCAUGAAUAUCUACUUUAUGCCUACUUUACGCCAAACUGAGAGCUAUAGUUCAACUCCAUCAUUUUAAAGAGUUUCGGCGACUGUUGAUUGUGGUCUAUAGCAUGAGAAGUACGUUGUUAUCUAAGGAUAACAAUACUCCAUUAAACAACCAAUACAUAACAGCUGUAAUAGCUCAUAGAUAAGGAAAAGCGACAUAAAAUGCCAUCUGAAUACAGUAUAUUACCAUAGGUGCGGUAGAAAUUUAGUGCUCGAGGCCUUUGAUCUUGUCAAGAUAGUACUGCAUUUUUUGAGUAUCUUGAGCCGAAAGAUUAGAUCCAACAACAAGCUUGUGCUGUUCAAAUUUUGAUUCAUCACACUUCAAUGCGGUUUCUUUACAAGCUUUGAUACUUCCUGAUACAAAAGAAAUGAAAGAAAUCAUUGGUAAUUAAUUUUCUUUAACAGAUGGGAAAGAAGACAAUUAUGUUGCGUCUUUGAGAUGACGGUAACUUCCGAUCAGCUGGAAAAAUGAACACUACGAGAUAAAAUGUGAUCUCUUAAGAAGUUCCAAACAAUGUUUACUAUAAGAAAUUCUGCUUACUUUUAAGGAAAUUGUGAUUACCAAUCACCACUAAAGGGGAAGCACUCUAAUUUCUUAAUCAAGAACAAUAACUAAAUUCAAGAGUCAAAAUGAUAACUUAAUUAUAAGGUAUUGUGCAUUUUCAAAAAAUAUCAGCAAGCCGCAAGACUUAAUCUGCUGCAAAUCUUUAACUCACCAAUUAGGUCCAACAAAUUAAAUAGAACCGGGCAAUCUGCAAUACUCCUGACCAUUGUAGUUGCAGCCCAUACUCGCUGAUAUUCAUCCCUUGAAGCUCUAACGAUACACAGCCUCGUAAUGUCAUUAACAUACUUGACUGCAUAAAAUUACACAUUCGGAGAAAUUUAGAGAGUCCAUUUUACAGAAAAUUAAUUGCAAAUGCACAUAAACAAAGAAGGUAACAAGAAUUACUGGGAGCCAUUACUUACCUUGGAAUGAUCCAAGUGACGAAGCCAGACCGCACUCCCCAAAAUUUACUAGAAUGCUGUCUCGGAUAGCUUUCAUAACAUUGUACGAGGUAAUGAUAACAGGAUCUUUUCUCACCAGUUCUCUAUUAGGAUCCAAGAUAACCUCCACUACCAUAUACCUAUUCUUAAAUCCCACCAUGAUACUCUACCUGCUUACAACAAAAAAUGGGACAUAUCAAAUCUAAUAAGAAUGUUAGACAACAAUAUCGUAUGAAAAGCUCAGCGGCUAGCUUAAAACUGUAUUUUGAAAUCUCAAUUCAACAGACAAGUAAGGGGGAGUAGUCAACUUGGAUUUCAGAAGAUUUUAAUGGACUUUUUGCAGGUGACAGAUAUCAAAGGAUUUUAAUGGACUCUACAAUUUUAUACAGCUUUUGGCAGAUUUAUACGGAUUUCUAUUAUAUAUUUUUAUGGAUCUGUAUAGACUUCUUUCAAGGAUUUAUUAAGAUUUCAUCGGUAAUAUUAAGGCCUUUCAUAACUCUAUCAAUCCCGAACUUAUGCGGAAGGAAAACAAGCACAUAUUCUCUAUCAUUCCUGAACUUCUACGGAAGGAAAACAAGCACACAUAUAUUAAGUUUUCAAACAGCAUCUCAAGACCACAUGACUUUUGUCAUGAUACACUUCUUAUACAGAAUAACCUGAAAACUUUGAAACAGCUCCAAGUAAUCGAACCGAGCCCAAGCAUACAGAAUCAAAUCUAUUGAAUCCUAAAGCUUACAUCUUUCUGUUGUUUUAAGCUCCCAAUCUCAAAACUGAAAAACUCAUAACCCAAUUCAGCAUUUUUUUUUAACUCAGCUCCCCAGGUUACUCAAAACCCCCAACAUCCCAUACUCCAAUCCCCUCCAUUUUCCCGCAGUUUCCUACAUUUUCUAGGCAACCAAACAGAGGUAAAACACCCAACUAAACAAAACAAAAAAAAAAAAAAAACCACAAAAGGUAGAGAAGUAAUAUACACAUAACAGAAAACCCGAAGCCCCCAAUCUAAUCCAGAAAACCCGUUUGUUUCCCGAGAAAGUUGCAGCCCCUCGGAACAGGGAUCGCAAUCCAGAUCUAAACUUGGAGUGAUUGGAUCUUGUCACGUAAGGAGAAUUGGGAAUGGGGAUUAGGGUUGUGGAGGUUGAAUUUGUGGCUGGUUUUUGGAUUGGGUGGAUAAUUUAUUGAAAAAGAAAGGAGCUUUAUCUGUCGUCUGUUCCUCGAGAACUCCCAAAUCGAGUCUGAAACUGAUAUCUGAGCGCGGGGAGGAGCAAGGGUGGCGAUUCCGAGA